UGGUUCUGGCAUCGAUGAAGAACGCAGCGAAAUGCGAUAAGUAAUGCGAAUUGCAGAAUCCGUGAGUCAUCGAAUCUUUGAACGCAUAUUGCGCCCUCUGGUAUUCCGGAGGGCAUGCCUGUUCGAGCGUCAUUAUCACCCCUCAAGCCCGGCUUGUUGUUGGACGCGGCGGCCCCCCUCCCGGGGCGCGCUCUUCCCAAAGAUAAUGACGGCGUCUGUGAGGACUCCAGUACACUGAGCUUUUGGGCACGUACUCGGCUAGAAGUCCAGACCCGGUCGACGUCGUCCCCCUCGCGGGGACGACACCCCCCCUUUUUAUCAAGGUUGACCUCGGAUCAGGUAGGAAUACCCGCUGA
RNAcentral lists this unclassified non-coding RNA (356 nucleotides) under uncultured fungus. Its description in RNAcentral is "partial contains 5.8S ribosomal RNA and internal transcribed spacer 2". The stretch from base 1 to 132 matches the Rfam family "5.8S ribosomal RNA", at positions 22 to 154 of the family's 154-position model. Lineage: Eukaryota; Fungi. The record is from RNAcentral.